GGAAAAUCGAUACUGGAAAAACUCUAACUCGGUGGCCAGUUUUUGUUGACCACUUCAUAGCGAGAAAGCGUUGCCGCAGGCAACGACCCGAAGGGCGAGGCGCACCGCGCUGAGUAAUCCUUCCCCCACCACCA
Molecule: small RNA, 134 nt
Filed under: Citrobacter sp. RHBSTW-00107
Lineage: Bacteria; Pseudomonadati; Pseudomonadota; Gammaproteobacteria; Enterobacterales; Enterobacteriaceae
Also listed under: 6 other names
Description: RtT sRNA
Rfam family: RtT RNA
About the family: This family represents a bacterial cis-regulatory element known as RtT RNA. The exact function of RtT is unknown although it is thought that it may be involved in changing the cellular response in relation to amino acid starvation.
Source: RNAcentral